This is an RNA transcript of Trifolium pratense (red clover), 2874 nucleotides long. It is a transcript of the gene named cullin-associated NEDD8-dissociated protein 1-like, with no coding region annotated. The transcript is spliced from 13 exons. The record is from RefSeq and is a predicted model, not a curated record. NCBI's taxonomy places the organism in Eukaryota, Viridiplantae, Streptophyta, Magnoliopsida, Fabales, Fabaceae.
CUAUUACUUUUAUUGUUCUUACUUUCUUCUAACUUGAAUUGCUUUUUCAAAAUUCCAAUCCGUUUAUUUUGCUGGAAAUCUACAUAAUGCCAAGACUUUUGUAGUGGCUUUAACCAUAUGGUAAGCAAGAAUGAGACUAUGUAACAAUUGAUAUGGACUAUUCUUGUUCUAAUUUUCUGUUGUUUUUUUAUCGUUUCUUUGUUUGAUGUAGCAGCUUGACCAUAAAUAUAUUGUUGCUUUCUGGAACACAGUACAUUGCGGCUGAAUUUAUCCUCACACAAAAAAAUACCGACUAUGACAGUUUUUAUGAAGGGAUAAAUUAAUUCCUCAACUACAAAUUAAAGUUUAAAUUUGACUCUGUUGACUGUGAGAUUUUCAUUGCAACCAAAUAAAUUCAAUAAGCAAUUUUGCACUCACAAAUUCUAAAUUAUGCUUAAAUAACAUUUGUACCAUAUCUAUUAAAUCAGAUGAACUAACUUAAAUCAGAUGAAUUGACUUAAAUCUGGUGAUCUGAUUUUGUACUCACGAAUUUUAAAAUAUGCUUAAAUAAUAUUUGCUCUUAUUCUUUCAUCUUUUCAAAGGAUCACAAUUCAUAACCUACCUCUAAAGCAUCCCUGACUAAUGCACUUACUAAUGCAUAAUCUUAGUGUUAUGGAUUUUGAAUUCUUCAAAUAUAUUUUUUAAUCAAUAGGUUUACGAUUAUUUAAAUAUGCUAGUUUUAGGGUCUUUUGGUUGUUUCGGUCAUUGAUAAAUAUUGAACAUAUUAGAGGCAAAUCUAUUGCUUAUACUUUCAGUUGUGGAUUUGCAACUACAGUGAAUCAACAACUCUGCCACUAUUGGCCGCUGGGUGCUUUAGAAUUAGUUCAAGAAGUUAACCAAAACACUGUCAGACCAUUUCUUUCAGCUAUUGUUCCUAAUUAUUUUUUUUGUCUUACUUUGUUCAUAGGAGAUUUUUAUAAUUUCCUUCAUAUUUUCUACAAAGCGGCUUUGAACUGAUAUUUGGCGACUCUUGUUUUUUUAGAUAAAUUAACUUAUCAUUUUGUUUGAAAAUGUUUAUUUUUUUAAAAGAUUUUUUACUAUUGAAAUGCUAGUUUUUUUAAUAUUUGAUUUUGAAUGUUUUACCAAUUCUAUCAUUUAUAUUUUUGAGCUGCUAAUCUAUAUGUUUUUCAUACUGUUAACUCUCUUAAUAUCAUAUAAACUUGGUGUAGCGUUUGAUCUUUUACUUGGUGCAUAGUAGCUGUUCUAUAGUGGAAAAUGUUUUUGUUCAAAACAUCACCGUUUUGUAGUCGAGCAGUUGGCUACUGAUUUUGGCCCCAUCUUGGAGACACAGUUCCAGUCCUCUAAUCAACUAUUGUACUACUGCUUCAGAAAAUGAUGAAGAGCUUCGUGAAGACAGUUUGCAGGCUCUGGAGAGUUUUCUUCUAAGGUGUACAAGGGACAUUUCUGUUUAUUGUGACGAAAUUCUUCAUUUGGCACUAGCAUAUCUGAGUUUAUAACCCAAACUUUACUGACAACAUGGAGGAGGAUACUGAUGAUGAAGGUCAUGAAGAGGAGGCGGAUGACGGGAGUGCAAAUGAAUAUACAGAUGAUGAUGCCAGCUGGAAAGUUCACAGAGCAGCGGCUAAAUGCUUAGCUGCAUUGAUUGUUUCUCGUCGUGAGUUGCUUUCAAAGCUGUAUGAUGAGGCUUGUCCAAAACUGAUUGACAGAUUUAAAGAGAUAGAAGAAAAUGUCAAGGCAUCCUUGGAAUAAGGGGAAGACUGUUCUUCUCAUAAGGUGGUUUGUGCCCAGCAAGCUGAAGACCUAAAAUUGAAGGAAAAGAGGAAGCGGGAACGAGAGGGUGAGGGGACAGAUAAGAAUGAAAAGGCUGGAUUGACACAUGCUGAUCUUGCUUACCGACGUGCAAAAGCAGGAAAAGCCACCACAAAGAGGGCACUAGACUCUGGCAAGAUUUUGAAGAAGCCUCAAAAGAAAUCUAAUAUAUCUAAUCCUUCGCGAAAGCCUUCCUCUUCAAGGAUAGAAGAAAUGCAAAGAGAGGUUCUGGAACAGGAAAGAAGGCAAAGAAGUCAUUCAAAAGCAAGUCAAGUGUUGGAAGAGUGAAAAUAAUGAAUCUGAAGAAUGCUUUGCCUUUGAUAAGUUGACAUAGAAGAGAGGGUGUGAAAGGCACAAGUUACUUGGAAAAAUUUGCAUAGAAAGAAGUGCAGAAAGUUGGAAACAGCUAGAGAGAUGUUGGAGGAUGACGAGCAAGAUGACAAACCAAAAGGUGAGGGGACAGAUAAGAAUGAAAAUGCUGGAUUGACACAUGUUGAUCUUGCUUACCGACCUGCAAACGCAGGAAAGGCCACCACCAAGAGGGCACUAGACUCUGGCAAGAUUUUGAAGAAGCCUCAAAAGAAAUCUAAUAAAUCUAAUCCUUCGCGAAAGCCUUCCUCUUCAAGGACAGAAGAAAUGCGGGAGCUAUUCCAGACGAAGGAUAAAAAGCCAUAAUAGAGAGGUUCUAGAACAGGAAAGAAGGCGAAGAAGUCAUUCGAAAGCAAGUCACGAUUUAGAAAGAUGAGACUUCAAUUUGAAGGAUUUUUGAGAGGAAGAGAGGGAUCGAAAGAGGGUGACUUGAGAUUUGAAAGAGGUGAUCUGAGAUACUACAUUUUACGAAAAGUGGUUUCGUUUAUCAAUCACAAGUUUCAUAACACUGGCAGGGUUGCAAAGCAGCUCUCUUAUAAUUUUUUUAAUGCCAAUAUUUUUUUUCAGUAAAUUUUCUCUUUGUUGUCUAUGGCUUUGUUCUCAAAUUGAGAACCCAAAAUUUGCACUACUUACUAAUUCAAGUUGUUUUGCAUAUUAUGCCAUGCAAUACUCUUGAUAUAUUCAAAGUUAAACUAU